UACGUAGGGUGCGAGCGUUGUCCGGAAUUAUUGGGCGUAAAGAGCUCGUAGGCGGUGUGUCGCGUCGGUCGUGAAAACUUUCAGCUUAACUGGGAGCUUGCGGUCGAUACGGGCAUCACUGGAGUUCGGCAGGGGAGACUGGAAUUCCUGGUGUAGCGGUGAAAUGCGCAGAUAUCAGGAGGAACACCGGUGGCGAAGGCGGGUCUCUGGGCCGAUACUGACGCUGCGGAGCGAAAGCGUGGGGAGCGAACAGG
RNAcentral lists this ribosomal RNA (254 nucleotides) under uncultured bacterium. RNAcentral describes it as "partial 16S ribosomal RNA". It matches the Rfam family "Bacterial small subunit ribosomal RNA", at positions 524 to 776 of the family's 1533-position model. The record is from RNAcentral.